CCUACGGGGUGCACCAGUGGGGAAUAUUGCACAAUGGGCGCAAGCCUGAUGCAGCCAUGCCGCGUGUGUGAAGAAGUCCUUCGGGUUGUAAAACACUUUCAGCGGGAGGAAGGCGUUAAGGUUAAUAGCCUUAGCGAUUGACGUUACCCGCAGAAGAAGCACCGGCUAACUCCGUGCCAGCAGCCGCGGUAAUACGGAGGGUGCAAGCGUUAUCGGAAUUACUGGGCGUAAAGCGCACGCAGGCGGUCUGUCAAGUCGGAUGUGAAAUCCCCGGGCUCAACCUGGGAACUGCAUUCGAAACUGGCAGGCUAGAGUCUUGUAGAGGGGGGUAGAAUUCCAGGUGUAGCGGUGAAAUGCGUAGAGAUCUGGAGGAAUACCGGUGGCGAAGGCGGCCCCCUGGACAAAGACUGACGCUCAGGUGCGAAAGCGUGGGGAGCAAACAGGAUUCGAUACCCCUGUAGUC
Molecule: ribosomal RNA, 463 nt
Filed under: uncultured bacterium
Lineage: Bacteria
Description: bacterial SSU rRNA
Rfam family: Bacterial small subunit ribosomal RNA
Source: RNAcentral